Molecule: ribosomal RNA, 490 nt
Filed under: uncultured bacterium
Lineage: Bacteria
Description: partial 16S ribosomal RNA
Rfam family: Bacterial small subunit ribosomal RNA
Source: RNAcentral
AUUGAACGCUGGCGGCAGGCCUAACACAUGCAAGUCGAACGGUAACAGGAAGCAGCUUGCUGCUUUGCUGACGAGUGGCGGACGGGUGAGUAAUGUCUGGGAUACUGCCCGAUGGAGGGGGAUAACUACUGGAAACGGUAGCUAAUACCGCAUAACGUCGCAAGACCAAAGAGGGGGACCUUAGGGCCUCUUGCCAUCGGAUGUGCCCAGAUGGGAUUAGCUAGUAGGUGGGGUAACGGCUCACCUAGGCGACGAUCCCUAGCUGGUCUGAGAGGAUGACCAGCCACACUGGAACUGAGACACGGUCCAGACUCCUACGGGAGGCAGCAGUGGGGAAUAUUGCACAAUGGGCGCAAGCCUGAUGCAGCCAUGCCGCGUGUAUGAAGAAGGCCUUCGGGUUGUAAAGUACUUUCAGCGGGGAGGAAGGGAGUAAAGUUAAUACCUUUGCUCAUUGACGUUACCCGCAGAAGAAGCACCGGCUAACUCCGUG